This 497-nucleotide ribosomal RNA is filed under the name uncultured bacterium. RNAcentral's name for it is "partial 16S ribosomal RNA". It matches the Rfam family "Bacterial small subunit ribosomal RNA", at positions 28 to 507 of the family's 1533-position model. The record is from RNAcentral.
GAUGAACGCUGGCGGCGUGCCUAAUACAUGCAAGUCGAGCGAACAGACGCGGAGCUUGCUCCUCUGACGUUAGCGGCGGACGGGUGAGUAACACGUGGAUAACCUACCUAUAAGACUGGGAUAACUUCGGGAAACCGGAGCUAAUACCGGAUAAUAUAUUGAACCGCAUGGUUCAAUAGUGAAAGACGGUUUUGCUGUCACUUAUAGAUGGAUCCGCGCCGCAUUAGCUAGUUGGUAAGGUAACGGCUUACCAAGGCAACGAUGCGUAGCCGACCGGAGAGGGUGAUCGGCCACACUGGAACUGAGACACGGUCCAGACUCCUACGGGAGGCAGCAGUAGGGAAUCUUCCGCAAUGGGCGAAAGCCUGACGGAGCAACGCCGCGUGAGUGAUGAAGGUCUUCGGAUCGUAAAACUCUGUUAUGAGGGAAGAACAAAUGUGUAAGUAACUAUGCACGUCUUGACGGUACCUAAUCAGAAAGCCACGGCUAACUACGUG